Molecule: ribosomal RNA, 102 nt
Filed under: Penicillium salamii
Lineage: Eukaryota; Fungi; Ascomycota; Eurotiomycetes; Eurotiales; Aspergillaceae
Source: RNAcentral
ACGACCACAGGGUGUGGAGAACAGGGCUUCCCGUCCGCUCAGCCGUACUUAAGCCGCACGCGGGCAGAUUAGUAGUAGAGUGAGUGACUAGUUUGCUCGGCU